Molecule: long non-coding RNA, 408 nt
Organism: Hordeum vulgare subsp. vulgare (domesticated barley)
Lineage: Eukaryota; Viridiplantae; Streptophyta; Magnoliopsida; Poales; Poaceae
Exons: 3
Source: RefSeq, a predicted model, not a curated record
CGAGAAAUCAUAAGUGAUCCAUGUAGCCUUUCCUGGAUUAGUUAACUGACCUUGAGAGAAACUCUGCAGAAAUUGAGGAACCUUGCAUAAUCCUGUGCCGGUAACAUUAGAGUUGAAUCAGCAUAGGUUACUGAACGAGUAUUUGCGACGGCUACUGAAAGCAGGGGAGUGCUUUCUGAAACUGUCUGACAGCAACAUCGGUCACUGCAGAAAACGAAAACAACCGAAGACUACUUCUGCCUGCUGCUAAUUUCGUUUGUGUCAUUUCAGCAGAUUCUCUUGUGGAACAGGGGAUGGAAAAGGACACGGAAAUCAAAAGGCUGGUGGACGUGCAGCAGGACAAGCUUUGGAUCAUCGGCGAGGAGGUUCCGAGCUGCCCAGACGAGGUUGGACCUGCCGUCCUUGAUG